RNAcentral lists this microRNA precursor (95 nucleotides) under Pan troglodytes (chimpanzee). Its description in RNAcentral is "mir-548 microRNA precursor family". It matches the Rfam family "mir-548 microRNA precursor family". The record is from Rfam by way of RNAcentral. Lineage: Eukaryota; Metazoa; Chordata; Mammalia; Primates; Hominidae.
UAUUAGGUUGAUGCAAAAGUAAUUGCGGUUUUUGCCUUUAAAAAAAAAAAAAAAAGAAUGGCAAAAACCGCAAUUACUUUUGCAUCAACCUAAUA